RNAcentral lists this ribosomal RNA (253 nucleotides) under uncultured bacterium. RNAcentral describes it as "partial 16S ribosomal RNA". It matches the Rfam family "Bacterial small subunit ribosomal RNA", at positions 524 to 776 of the family's 1533-position model. The record is from RNAcentral.
UACGUAGGGUGCGAGCGUUGUCCGGAAUUAUUGGGCGUAAAGGGCUCGUAGGCGGUUUGUCGCGUCGGGAGUGAAAACUCAGGGCUUAACCCUGAGCCUGCUUCCGAUACGGGCAGACUAGAGGUAUGCAGGGGAGAACGGAAUUCCUGGCGUAGCGGUGAAAUGCGCAGAUAUCGGGAAGAACACCCGUGGCGAAGGCGGCUCUCUGGGACGGUACUGACGCUGAGACGCGAAAGCGUGGGGAGCGAACAGG